This 789-nucleotide ribosomal RNA is filed under the name uncultured archaeon. Its description in RNAcentral is "bacterial SSU rRNA". It matches the Rfam family "Archaeal small subunit ribosomal RNA", at positions 85 to 878 of the family's 1478-position model. The record is from RNAcentral.
ACUGCUCAGUAACACGUCGAUAAUCUGCCCUUAGGUGGAGGAUAUCCUCGGGAAACUGAGGUCAACACUCCAUAGAAAAUUAUAACUGGAAUGUUUUAUUUUUGAAAGGUUACGCCUAAGGAUGAGUCGGCGGCUGAUUAGGUAGUUGGUGGGGUAAUGGCCCACCAAGCCUCAGAUCAGUAGGGGCCUUGAGAGAGGUUGCCCCGAGAAGGACACUUAGACACUGGUCCUAGCCCUACGGGGUGCAGCAGGCGCGAAAACUUUACAAUGCACGAAAGUGUGAUAAGGGAACCCAGAGUGCUUAUGCUUUGCAUAGGCUUUUGCCAAGAGUAAAUAUCUUGGAGAAUAAGUAGUGGGUAAGACUGGUGCCAGCAGCCGCGGUAACCCCAGCGCUACAAGUGGUGAUCGCUUUUAUUGGGCUUAAAGCGUUCGUAGCCGGAUAAAUAAAUUCUUUGUGAAAUCAAUGAGCUCAACUUAUUGGCGUGCAGAGAAGACUGUUUAUCUUGGAACCGGGAGAAGUAUGGAGUAUUUCUAGGGGAGCGGUAAAAUGUUAUAAUCCUAGAAGGACUACCGGUGGCGAAGGCGCCAUACUAGAACGGAUUCGACGGUGAGGAGCGAAAGCCAGGGGAGCAAAACGGAUUAGAUACCCGAGUAGUCCUGGCAGUAAACGCUGUGAACUAGGUGUUGCAUUUUCUUAGUGGAAGUGCAGUGUCGGAGCGAAAGUGUUAAGUUCACCGCCUGGGAAGUACGGUCGCAAGGCUGAAACUUAAAGGAAUUGGCGGGGGAGCA